Molecule: unclassified non-coding RNA, 239 nt
Filed under: Hevea brasiliensis (rubber tree)
Lineage: Eukaryota; Viridiplantae; Streptophyta; Magnoliopsida; Malpighiales; Euphorbiaceae
Source: RNAcentral
GUUUGCCUCACCAAGACGAGGGGCAUACCGCUGCAUUGCCGACGAUCCCGAAGAAGCAAAGGAGGGUGACACGUAGUGUCCUGGCUGAUCCAUUCCUGUAACUGAGCUGCUCAAUGAAUACCUGCCCCCUGAGAACCUUUCCUCUGAACUUUGCAACCCGUAAUCAACAGAACCACUGUGAAGGGUGGUGUAUCUCUUAAUAAUAUGACUGAUGUCCUCAUCAACAGCAGUGCUACCUG